GAUGCAAGAUGGCUGCAGUCUAAUCAAGCUAGAUUUCCCCUACCACCUUCUGUCUCUUUCCCUAUGUGGAUGGACUUUUGAGUUUUUCUUCAGAGUCAGUUAAGAAAGCAGGAGCCAGGGGAUAUCAGUUCUCACUUCAGAACCAGUGUUUGAGGAAAUAGAAUCACCAGAUCCAUAGAUUGGCAGCCUGUCUGAAAGCAUCAAAAUGCAUUGUGUUCCACUGUUCCACGCCAUUUGGAAUGAAUAAGCUGUCGGGGAAGCAUCGUGCUGGAAGAAGAAAGCAGCUAAAAUCGGCUGCUCUUAGGAUCAGUUGAAGAGGAAAUAAAUGGAAGAGGCAUGGGACCACGUUCUGAUGAAUUUGAUCAUUCACACUCUGGAUUAAUUACAGACUCCUUGGACAGUUUUAAGAUUCAGUUCACCUGAAUUCUGAUAAAUUACAGAUGAUUCAUCAAAUCUUAAAUACUUUUUAGAUUUAAAAGAUCAUUUAAAAAAACAUAAUGAUUGUCAGUGAAAUGUAUUUCACAGAUUGAUAAAGCAGUUUAUAUUGAAAAAUGUAAAAGAAGUCCAAUAUUUUUCUGUAUCCUCUUGAAGAUGCAGAAAUUGUGUAUUAGUCCCUGUACAGAAAGCCUCAAGGAAAUAUUUUCCUAAGACAACAAGAAAAAAUAAAUUUAUUUUAAAUCUUU
This is a long non-coding RNA of Peromyscus eremicus (cactus mouse), 683 nucleotides long. RefSeq lists it as uncharacterized. The transcript has 2 exons. The record is from RefSeq and is a predicted model, not a curated record. NCBI's taxonomy places the organism in Eukaryota, Metazoa, Chordata, Mammalia, Rodentia, Cricetidae.